GUAGUCUGCCAUACGCAGGAAGACCCGCUGAACUGAAGCAUCUCAUUAAGCGGAGGAAAAGAAACUAACUAGGAUUCCCUUAGUAAAGGCGAUCGAAAAGGGAACAGCCCAACGUCUUAAUCCCGCAAGGGAAAUGUAGUCGGUUCACCUAUUGCACUGGUCUAAGUCAGAUGGAAUGCUGCGCGAUUCAGAGUAAAAGCCUCGUAUGACCAACCGCAAGCUUACGAUGGACCGGGGAGAGUCGGAUACUUUGAGAGUAGUGUCUUAAGGGGGUGGUAUGUCCCAUCCAAGGCUAAAUAACGUGAGGAGACCGAUAGAUUACAAGUAGUGUGAACGAAAGAUGAAAAGAACUCUAAAACAGAGGGUGAAAAGUU
Molecule: non-coding RNA, 374 nt
Organism: Trichomonas vaginalis G3
Lineage: Eukaryota; Parabasalia; Trichomonadida; Trichomonadidae
Source: Rfam